Homo sapiens (human) is the source of this 971-nucleotide long non-coding RNA. NCBI's taxonomy places the organism in Eukaryota, Metazoa, Chordata, Mammalia, Primates, Hominidae. The record is from Ensembl.
GGCUGCACAAAUGCAUAUGAAGGGCGGAGAUAUGAAACUUUACCUCUAGCUCCAGGGGCUGGAAACAGCUUGUCAGGAAGAAUAGAGAGGGACUGCUCCUAGAGCUUUGUUCGACAGUUUCCAGGACAGCCAGGAGAGGACACAGGAAUGACCAGACCCAAAGGGCAUAGCCCACAGCCAAGUGGACAGGAACACAACUUGAUGUCCUCAAAGUAGCCCAAUAGGUUCUGGAACCGAAGUUCAGACUGGUCACCUCCCUCUGGCUGGCAGGAAAAUGGGAGGCCACAGAAGAGCUCAGCAUCUGAAGAAAGGGUGGUGCUGGCAGGCAGAGAGCAACAAGCCCUGGCUUCUUGUUGGGCUGGUAGUGUGAGGACUCCUGAGAAAAUCCAUUGCCUAUAUGGGCAGCAACAUGCAACAGCUGGGGGCUAAGUGUCAGGUUAAAGUGUACAACCCCAUGGGAUUACUAGGAAGAACACAGCCUUUUCAAAACAGGCCAGUGAAGAGUGCCUAUUCCAGGAAAGGCCCUGUGGACUUACACCCUUGGGUUUGUUAGCAAGUGAGUCUUGCAAGUUGCAAUUAUGGAGUGUACAAAUUUUCUCAGGAAAGACAUCAAGAAAAGUGGCAUGAAGGGAGAGGAAAGGCAGAAAAGAUGGUCAUGCAAUCCUCUACACUUUGUGAGACCUUUGCAGUGGGAGACCCCCGAGCUGCCCACAAUUCAAAGGCCAUCUCCAAUCUCAGCCUGCAAGAAGAUUCCAGAGCGAUCACAGCCCACCAGUCUCAGCUGUUUUGUAAGCAUUGAUUGCUGCCAACAACUGUUCUCUAGGGGCUUUGUGUAUGUGCUAGGAGGUAGGGCUCUUCAGAAAAGGAGUGGAAGCUACAACCUCAAGACAAUAUCUAGAGAGAAGGCAGUCAGAGGAGCCAAGGAAAGAGCUAGUUUAUUAACGUUUGACCAAGACCCAGGACAACUGUUA